AUUGAACGCUGGCGGCAGGCUUAACACAUGCAAGUCGAGCGGGGGAAGGUAGCUUGCUACCGGACCUAGCGGCGGACGGGUGAGUAAUGCUUAGGAAUCUGCCUAUUAGUGGGGGACAACAUCUCGAAAGGGAUGCUAAUACCGCGUACGUCCUACGGGAGAAAGCAGGGGAUCUUCGGACCUUGCGCUAAUAGAUGAGACUAAGUCGGAUUAGCUAGUUGGUGGGGUAAAGGCCUACCAAGGCGACGAUCUGUAGCGGGGCUGAGAGGAUGAUCCGCCACACUGGGACUGAGACACGGCCCAGACUCCUACGGGAGGCAGCAGUGGGGAAUAUUGGACAAUGGGGGGAACCCUGAUCCAGCCAUGCCGCGUGUGUGAAGAAGGCCUUAUGGUUGUAAAGCACUUUAAGCGAGGAGGAGGCUACUCUAGUUAAUACCUAGGGAUAGUGGACGUUACUCGCAGAAUAAGCACCGGCUAACUCUGUGCCAGCCGCCGCGGUAA
This 501-nucleotide ribosomal RNA is filed under the name uncultured bacterium. RNAcentral describes it as "partial 16S ribosomal RNA". It matches the Rfam family "Bacterial small subunit ribosomal RNA", at positions 30 to 523 of the family's 1533-position model. The record is from RNAcentral.